Molecule: long non-coding RNA, 286 nt
Organism: Oncorhynchus masou masou (cherry salmon)
Lineage: Eukaryota; Metazoa; Chordata; Actinopteri; Salmoniformes; Salmonidae
Exons: 3
Source: RefSeq, a predicted model, not a curated record
AAAGUUGGGCCAGAUGGACUGCCUGUUUCCGGGGACAACCAAUCAAUGAUGUCAGGAACUACUUUGGAGAGAAGGUGGCUCUGUAUUACCUCUGGCUGGGCUGGUACACCCUUCUGUUGCUCCCUGCAGCUCUGUUAGGGGUCAUUGUCUUCCUCUACGCGCUGGCUUUCUACAAGACCUCGCCACUUAUAAAGGAGGUGUGUGAGUCGAACACAAUCAUGUGUCCUCUGUGUGACAAGAGAUGCAAAGUGUGGCUUCUCAGUGAUACCUGCCUUUACGCCAAGGU